RNAcentral lists this transfer RNA (73 nucleotides) under Danionella translucida. It matches the Rfam family "tRNA". Rfam says of the family: Transfer RNA (tRNA) molecules are approximately 80 nucleotides in length. Their secondary structure includes four short double-helical elements and three loops (D, anti-codon, and T loops). The record is from Rfam by way of RNAcentral. Lineage: Eukaryota; Metazoa; Chordata; Actinopteri; Cypriniformes; Danionidae. RNAcentral also lists the same sequence under 1 other name.
GUUUCUGUAGUGUAGUGGUCAUCACGUUUGCUUAACAUGCAAAAGGUCCCCAGUUCGAAACUGGGCGUAAACA